GGUUCUAUGGUGUAAUGGUUAGCACUCUGGACUUUGAAUCCAGCGAUCUGAGUUCAAAUCUCGGUAGGACCG
This 72-nucleotide transfer RNA is filed under the name Danionella translucida. It matches the Rfam family "tRNA". From Rfam's summary of the family: Transfer RNA (tRNA) molecules are approximately 80 nucleotides in length. RNAcentral also lists the same sequence under 1 other name. Lineage: Eukaryota; Metazoa; Chordata; Actinopteri; Cypriniformes; Danionidae. The record is from Rfam by way of RNAcentral.